RNAcentral lists this signal recognition particle RNA (98 nucleotides) under Erysipelotrichaceae bacterium. RNAcentral describes it as "signal recognition particle sRNA small type". It matches the Rfam family "Bacterial small signal recognition particle RNA". From Rfam's summary of the family: The signal recognition particle (SRP) is a universally conserved ribonucleoprotein involved in the co-translational targeting of proteins to membranes. Archaeal SRP consists of a 7S RNA and homologues of the eukaryotic SRP19 and SRP54 proteins. Lineage: Bacteria; Bacillati; Bacillota; Erysipelotrichia; Erysipelotrichales; Erysipelotrichaceae. The record is from RNAcentral.
UAUUAGUGCUAUCGCAAUAGUAGAGCAUGAACCUGGUCAGAUCUGGAAGGAAGCAGCCAUAAGUGUAAUCGCUGUGUGCGAUAGCCUUUUUAUUAGGG